UACGGAGGGUGCAAGCGUUAUCCGGAUUCACUGGGUUUAAAGGGUGUGUAGGCGGGCUGUUAAGUCAGAGGUGAAAUCUCCGGGCUCAACCCGGAAACUGCCUUUGAUACUAUCAGUCUUGAAUCUUGUUGAGGUAGGCGGAAUAUGUCAUGUAGCGGUGAAAUGCUUAGAUAUGACAUAGAACACCGAUUGCGAAGGCAGCUUACUAAACAAGCAUUGACGCUGAGGCACGAAAGCGUGGGGAUCAAACAGG
RNAcentral lists this ribosomal RNA (253 nucleotides) under uncultured bacterium. RNAcentral describes it as "partial 16S ribosomal RNA". It matches the Rfam family "Bacterial small subunit ribosomal RNA", at positions 524 to 776 of the family's 1533-position model. The record is from RNAcentral.